AAACCGCUGCUAAUACCGCAUACCUUAUUAAGAUUGCAUGGUCAUAAUAAGAAAGAGUUAUCGCCAUAGGAUGGGCCCGCGUCUGAUUAGCCAGUUGGUAGGGUAACGGCCUACCAAAGUAACGAUCAGUAGCCGGCCUGAGAGGGUGAACGGCCACAUUGGGACUGAGACACGGCCCAUACUCCUACGGGAGGCAGCAGUGGGGGAUAUUGCACAAUGGGGGGAACCCUGAUGCAGCAACGCCGCGUGAGUGAAGAAGUAUUUCGGUAUGUAAAGCUCUAUCAGCAGGGAAGAUGAUGACGGUACCUGCAUAAGAAGCCCCGGCUAACUA
Molecule: ribosomal RNA, 331 nt
Filed under: uncultured bacterium
Lineage: Bacteria
Description: bacterial SSU rRNA
Rfam family: Bacterial small subunit ribosomal RNA
Source: RNAcentral